This 728-nucleotide ribosomal RNA is filed under the name uncultured bacterium. Its description in RNAcentral is "bacterial SSU rRNA". It matches the Rfam family "Bacterial small subunit ribosomal RNA", at positions 1 to 715 of the family's 1533-position model. The record is from RNAcentral.
AAUUCGAUUAGUUUGAUUAUGGCUCAGGACGAACGCUGGCGGCGCGCUUAACACAUGCAAGUCGAGCGAGAUCCAGGCCUUCGGGCCUUGGGGAAAGCGGCGAACGGGUGAGUAACACGUGGGUAACCCACCCUUGGUACCGGGAUAGCCCGAGGAAACUCGGAUUAAUACCGGAUGGCCCAACAGCUUCUCGAAGCGGUUGGAAAAGGUAGCUUCGGCCUCCGACCAAGGACGGGCCCGCGGUGGAUUAGCUUGUUGGUGAGGUAACGGCUCACCAAGGCUUCGACCCAUAGCUGGUCUGAGAGGACGAUCAGCCACACUGGGACUGAGACACGGCCCAGACUCCUACGGGAGGCAGCAGUGGGGAAUCUUGCGCAAUGGGCGAAAGCCUGACGCAGCGACGCCGCGUGGGGGAAGAAGGCUUUCGGGUUGUAAACCCCUUUCAGGAAGGACGAAGCCACUCGGGUUAAUAGCCCAGAGGGUGACGGUACUUCCAGAAGAAGCCCCGGCUAACUACGUGCCAGCAGCCGCGGUAAUACGUAGGGGGCAAGCGUUGUCCGGAUUUAUUGGGCGUAAAGAGCGUGUAGGCGGUCAGAUAGGUCCGUUGUGAAAACUCGAGGCUCAACCUCGAGACGCCGAUGGAAACCAUCUGACUAGAGUCCGGAAGAGGAGAGUGGAAUUCCUGGUGUAGCGGUGAAAUGCGCAGAUAUCAGGAAGAACACCCGUGG